Molecule: long non-coding RNA, 502 nt
Filed under: Ananas comosus (pineapple)
Lineage: Eukaryota; Viridiplantae; Streptophyta; Magnoliopsida; Poales; Bromeliaceae
Description: long non-coding RNA (ACOM_LNC035624)
Source: RNAcentral
UGCAAAGAAGGAGAAGAAGAAAAUAGGAGAGAAAGAGAAGGAGGAAGAGAAGAGAAGAAAGGAAAAGAAGAGAAGGAGAAGAAGAUCAAGAUGAUGAAGCUCACCUUCAUCCUCUUCUUCCUCAUACUUGGAGCAAACUAGAGGUAAGCCCUUUACCUUCUCUCAUGUAGGGUUAGGGUGUAAGAUAUCAAAAUUCGACGAUAUCGGCUAACUUUGGCACAAUGGACCAAAGUGAGCAAUCGAAAGUUUGGGACAAGUCCCAUUUGGUAUUUCAACAUGUUUGGAAGAGUAAAAAUGAGUUCCAAAAGUGUUGGAAUAGUUUUAGCGUUGUUGGACGCGAAAAGAAAUCGAAACAGAUCGAGAAACAGCUUUCUGGAGCUGGUGUACCGGUACACGCAUGAUGGCUGUACCGGUACAGCCAUCGCUGCCAGGCUGCGCAGCCCUCGGGUUUGCUCUCGGGUUUGGCCGUUACGCAGGGCGCGUACCGGUACGCAAACCNNNN